AUGGCUGGAUUCGCUGAUGCACUGAGGCCGGAUAAGUUUACCGGUGUGCAUUUUAAGAGGUGGCAGGUGAAGACCACGCUCUGGCUUACUGCUCUAAAAGUUUUCCACGCUAGUGUUGGUGCUCCAGAGGGAAUGACCGACGAAGAUCGGAGAAAAUUCCAGGAAGCCAAUACUAUGUUUGUGGGAUGCAUUCUGAGUGUUCUUGCUGACCGUCUGUGUGAUGUGUACAUGCACAUAAACGACGGAAAAAUUCUGUGGGAUGCACUGAAUACAAUUCGGUGCAACAGAUGCAGGCAGUGA
This 300-nucleotide ribosomal RNA is filed under the name Triticum aestivum (bread wheat). Its description in RNAcentral is "partial small subunit ribosomal RNA". Lineage: Eukaryota; Viridiplantae; Streptophyta; Magnoliopsida; Poales; Poaceae. The record is from RNAcentral.